Molecule: non-coding RNA, 75 nt
Filed under: Escherichia coli
Lineage: Bacteria; Pseudomonadati; Pseudomonadota; Gammaproteobacteria; Enterobacterales; Enterobacteriaceae
Description: Fluoride sequence
Rfam family: Fluoride riboswitch aptamer (crcB RNA motif)
Source: RNAcentral
GAUUUACAAGGUGAUGGUGCUCCACCUUUCCCAACCGCCGGUUUUUCAACACCGGAUGAUGGCGCCUGAUAUACA